UUAAAUUUAAAUUAUUUCUUAUAAAUAUUAGAAUUAACUUUAUUUUAUUAUUAUUUAGAAAAAUUAUUUAUAAUUAUAGUUUAUUAGUAGAGUGGUUGAAAUUUUUAAUUAUUUAAAAAGAAAAAUUUAUUUUUUGUACCUUGUGGAUCAGGGUUUAUUAAUUAAAAAUUAUAAAUUUAAUUUUCUCGAAUUUAAAAGAUUUAAUUAAUUAUUUAUUUAAAUGUUUAAAAAUUUUUUAAAAUAGUUAAUUGGAGGUGAAAUGCUAUUCGAUUUUAAAUAUAUCUAGUUUUUUAAGAAAAGAAUUUAAUUCUAUUAUUAUUUUUUAAGUUUUAUUUUUUAAUUCUUAAGUUUUAAUAUUAAAUAUUUAAUGGGAUGAGCUUUUAUGUAUAUUUUUAUAAUAGUAAAAUUUAUUUAUGUUUUGUAUAAUUUGAAUUGUUAAUCAUUAAUAAAUUAAUAUUUAGGCAUUUAAAUUUAAAGAUUUUUUUUUAUUUAAUUUUUUUAUUAAAAUUAUUCAUUUAAUUUAGUUUGUUUGUAAUUAUGAUAAAAUUAGUAAUAAUAAUUUAAUUUUGUUUAUUUAUGCAAGGUUAAUAAAAGGAAUUCGGCAAAAUUAUUUUCUGCCUGUUUAUUAAAAACAUGUCCUUUUGAUAAUAAUUUAAGGUCUAAUCUGCUCAGUGAGGAGUUAAAUAGCCGCAGUAUUUUGACUGUGCAAAGGUAGCGUGAUAAUUAGUCUCUUAAUUAGGGACUUGUAUGAAUGAUUGGACAAGAAAAUUUCUGUCUCUUUUUAAUUUUUUGUGAAUUUUAUUUUUAAGUUAAAAUGCUUAAAUAUUUGUAAAAGACGAGAAGACCCCAUAGAGUUUUAUUUUCAUAAGUUUUUAGAAUAAUAAUUAAAAUUGAAAAAUUAGUUGGGGUGACUAAAAGAUUUAAUUAACUCUUUUAAUUUAAAUCAUUGAUUUAUGAAUAUAAAGUCUAAUUUUUUUAAAUUUAAAUUAAAUUACCUUGGGGAUAACAGCGUAAUUUCUUUUUAGAGUUCUUAUCAAAUAAGAAGAUUGCGACCUCGAUGUUGGAUUAAAAUUUAUUUUAGGUGUAGAAGCUUAAAAAUUAAGUCUGUUCGACUUUUAUAAUUUUACAUGAUCUGAGUUUAAACCGGUGUAAGCCAGGUUGGUUUCUAUCUUUAUAAAAAUUUAAUAUUUUAGUACGAAAGGACCAAUUAUUAGAUAUAUUAUUUAUUUUUGAAUAAAAU
RNAcentral lists this ribosomal RNA (1240 nucleotides) under Lampyris noctiluca. RNAcentral describes it as "16S ribosomal RNA". The stretch from base 1002 to 1160 matches the Rfam family "Archaeal large subunit ribosomal RNA", at positions 2542 to 2701 of the family's 2987-position model. The record is from RNAcentral. Lineage: Eukaryota; Metazoa; Arthropoda; Insecta; Coleoptera; Lampyridae.